UAUUUGCAUAAUGAAAUAUUUCAGAGCUAUUAAAAUAAAACUACUCUAUUGCCUCAUUCAACAUCCUGUGCUGCUCAUCUCUAGCUCAACACAUUCCCUUUCAUUUCUAUCUAUGAUAAUCACUUUCAUUUUUGUGUCUGACAAAAAUAAGUCCCUAUGUGUUCUGAAAGUAGUGCUUCCACAUUAGCUUUUCUGUUUGACAUAUAAAGUAUAAUGAAAUUGUAAUUCCUUGAUGUUGAGAAAUAGGGAACCUAAUGUUAGUCAACAGUUUCAACAUCAAAUCCUACAAAGAUAAGCCAGUCCUACCGUUCUUUCAAUGGAACUACAAUAUUUCAUACUAACUUCUGAUAUACAUAGGACCCUCCAAAAAGGAUGGCAUAGUAUUCAGCAGACAAGUAUUUGUAAGUACUAAAGCUAGUGUCCUAACAAUGCAUUCCGAUGUGCAUAUUAGGGAAGAAACUUGUUUGGACAAAGGACAAUUCAUAUCUCCUACAACUAAAAAGACUAAAAGAUGGACAAACUUUUGGUGCGACAUUCUCUCCUCUAGCUUUCGUCCUGCCUCCUGCGAAGGUCAUCCCACCCGGCUCUCUCUUCCGCCCAAAAAAAGAAACAAAAACGCUCAAUCCUCGCGCCCCGCACCCCGUGCCCCGCUCCCCGUGCUCGCACCCCGACCCAGGCCGCGCGGCACCAACCCUCGCCAGGUCGCGCGGAGCCACGCUCGCUAACCCGCCCCAUGCCGUGCAGCGGCGCCUUCUCCAGAGCCGCACCCGCUGCCACCUGCGGGCGCACCCGCCGCCACCUGCGGGCGCACCCGCCGCGCUCCACGUCCGGCUUCCUGGGCAGCGCAGGCCGCCCCGGCCACACUCCUUCCCUUCCAAGGCCACGCUCUUCACGCGCAGGACUUCAUCGCGCUUUCACCCUCACGCGACCUUUGCCGCAGCGGCAGCGGCGCCGGCUCCUAGCUACCCGAUCUGUCACCGCCAGCCACCGCGUGCUCAGGCAUCUGGCUACCCGAGCCCCGCUCCCCUUCCAUCCUCAGCGGCGCCCCCUCCCACUUCCGGCUCCUCGGCGCCCCACUCAGAUCCUCGACGCAGAGCCCCCCUCAUCCUCGGCGGUGCCCCGCUCCCAUAUCCUCCGCAUCGCCCACUCCCGGAUCCGGCUCCUCGGCGCAGAGGCCCACGGCGACGCCAGCGGCAGCGCCAGCGGCGGCGCCGAAGCCAACGGCGACGCUAACGAUUCCGGCGCGAAGGCGGCGGCGGCGGAGUCGGAGGAGUCUGAGUCGGAGGACGCGGACGCCGCAAAGCAGGAGUACGUGCUCGGACGCUCGCCAACCGUCCCCGUUGUUUGCUUGCUUUGCCGCUCUCCUUUCCCCGUCAUCGUGGUUUCCUUCCUGAUGCGUGCUCCAGAUGUGCCGUAUCUCCUCGGAGCCCCGCUCCCGUAUCUGCUCGGAGCCCCGCUCCCAAAUCCUCCUCGGCGACCCCUCCCAGAUCCUCCUCGACGCCCGCCCGAGCCCGACGUAUGCGAGCCACCGCGCGUGGUCCUCGCGAUCCCGCGGUGGCUCGCGAUCCCGAAGCGCUCCAGCCGGGCCGCAGUCGUGCUCCUGCCGAGGCCGCGGCCGCUCCGACUGCGAGCAGCCAGCGCGAAGCCGAGCCGCCGUCUGUGCGCGGGGCCACCUCCGUGCUGCGUGCACGCGCGGGGCCGAGGCCGGUCGAGCGCACGUGGUCCCCAGCGCGAGGCCGGGCCGACCCGCACCCACCCGCGCCGAGCAGGCCGCGGGGUGUGCCUUCGGGCGGCCACCGCCUGGGCGAGCGCUCGCGAGCUCCGAGCUCCUCCGUGCCGCGCGCGGGGUCGAGCCGAGCGGCUCGCGACAGGUUCAAUCAACCCCGUCCAGCUGGCCUCCACACGACAGGUUCCUCCGUGCCGCUGGCCUCCACACGACAGGUUCCUCCGUGCCCCGAGCCUCCACGACGGGGUCAGGGGCCAGAGAUCGGACCUCAUCAGUUGGGGCAGCGAAGAGGGUGUUCGAUCUGAGGCAUGUCACGGCCGUGGAGGUGCCGCGCUUCGAGCUCGACGAGGACCCCGCGUUCUGGAAGGAUCACAAUGUGCAGGUGCGUGGUUUCACAUUUGACAUUAGCUCAGGUGCGAUGGUCGAUGAGCUUAUUGUGCAUACAGACCUGCUGAAUAUUAUCCUGCUGCUAUCUCAGUUCACCACAUACUUCCCUUUGCAGGUAAGCAGAUAUACUGUUUAUUUGUCGAAGGCGUGUUGGAUAUAGUCUGAUCUAAUCCUUCUCGGGGCAGACUGAAUACCCUACGCCCAUUUGGUCCAAAAUUUAGGGACGAUUCUCUUCUUGAUUUGUUUAACCAUUGUUGAAUAAUUUAUUUUCUUAUAUUUUUUUGCAUCUCUUGUGCAAAGAGAUCCCCUAUAGAUUCAACCAUCUUGCAGAAAUAAAAAAAUAUGAAUUCUUGUUAGCUGUGUUUGAAGAGCAGAUACGUAGGAGCUUUCCUUUCUUAAUGCAGAGGAAUCGAGUGGGAGGGAGUCGGGGCCGAGGCGUCCUGGCGGUCGCGACCUCGUUCUUGCGCGCCGAGGGUGGAGGGGUGAGUGAUGAGUUUGAUCUGAGCGUUCCUGGCCGCAAGAUGAUGUUAGAGUUAAUCUCCCCCCUUAAUUUUGUAAAUUAGACAUUACUGUAUGCAAUUAGUUGGGUGUACUUAGAUUAGGCAAUGACUGUGGGGUGUAGUUUGCUGUGUGGAUUUAGGAAAGUUUUAAGUGGUGCAUUAUAUAGUAGUGGAGAUGUGCUUCAUCAUUCUCAGGUUGAACACUAUAUAUUUGGACUUAUGCUUGCCUAUUAAUUUUAAAAAUGCAAAGACUUGUUUCAA
RNA transcript from Sorghum bicolor (sorghum), 2874 nucleotides. It is a transcript of the gene named serine/arginine repetitive matrix protein 1, with no coding region annotated. Lineage: Eukaryota; Viridiplantae; Streptophyta; Magnoliopsida; Poales; Poaceae. The transcript has 4 exons. The record is from RefSeq and is a predicted model, not a curated record.